UGUUAUGGCGGCUGUGCGCGGGCAUGUUUCGACAUGGCCGGGUUUUUGGUGGGUGUUAACCCGGAUUCUCACCCCGCGUACGGCUGCCACUCUC
Molecule: non-coding RNA, 94 nt
Filed under: Pseudomonas fluorescens
Lineage: Bacteria; Pseudomonadati; Pseudomonadota; Gammaproteobacteria; Pseudomonadales; Pseudomonadaceae
Also listed under: 1 other name
Source: RNAcentral